CACACUAUCAUGCCCCUUAUGACCUGGGCUACACACGUGCUACAAUGGUUGGUACAACGAGUUGCGAGUCGGUGACGGCGAGCUAAUCUCUUAAAGCCAAUCUCAGUUCGGAUUGUAGGCUGCAACUCGCCUACAUGAAGUCGGAAUCGCUAGUAAUCGCGGAUCAGCACGCCGCGGUGAAUACGUUCCCGGGCCUU
This 197-nucleotide ribosomal RNA is filed under the name uncultured Streptococcus sp. RNAcentral's name for it is "partial 16S ribosomal RNA". It matches the Rfam family "Bacterial small subunit ribosomal RNA", at positions 1186 to 1382 of the family's 1533-position model. Lineage: Bacteria; Bacillati; Bacillota; Bacilli; Lactobacillales; Streptococcaceae. The record is from RNAcentral.